This 301-nucleotide ribosomal RNA is filed under the name uncultured bacterium. RNAcentral describes it as "partial 16S ribosomal RNA". It matches the Rfam family "Bacterial small subunit ribosomal RNA", at positions 509 to 809 of the family's 1533-position model. The record is from RNAcentral.
CAGCCGCCGCGGUAAUACAGAGGGUGCAAGCGUUAAUCGGAUUUACUGGGCGUAAAGGGCGCGUAGGUGGUUAUGUAAGUGAGAUGUGAAAUCCCCGGGCUCAACCUGGGAACUGCAUCUUAUACUGCGUAGCUGGAGUGCAGUAGAGGGUAGUGGAAUUUCCGGUGUAGCGGUGAAAUGCGUAGAUAUCGGAAGGAACACCAGUGGCGAAGGCGGCUACCUGGACUGACACUGACACUGAGGCGCGAAAGCGUGGGGAGCAAACAGGAUUAGAUACCCCCGUAGUCCCUGUCUCUUAUAU